RNAcentral lists this ribosomal RNA (465 nucleotides) under uncultured bacterium. RNAcentral describes it as "bacterial SSU rRNA". It matches the Rfam family "Bacterial small subunit ribosomal RNA", at positions 338 to 795 of the family's 1533-position model. The record is from RNAcentral.
CCUACGGGGGGCACCAGUGGGGAAUAUUGCACAAUGGGCGCAAGCCUGAUGCAGCCAUGCCGCGUGUAUGAAGAAGGCCUUAGGGUUGUAAAGUACUUUCAGUUGGGAGGAAGGCGUUGAUGCUAAUAUCAUCAACGAUUGACGUUACCAACAGAAGAAGCACCGGCUAACUCCGUGCGAGCAGCCGCGGUAGUACGGAGGGUGCAAGCGUUAAUCGGAAUUACUGGGCGUAAAGCGCACGCAGCCGGUUGAUUAAGUUAGAUGUGAAAUCCCCGGGCUUACCCUGGGAAUGGCAUCUAAGACUGGUCAGCUAGAGUCUUGUAGAGGGGGGUAGAAUUCCAUGUGUAGCGGUGAAAUGCGUAGAGAUGUGGAGGAAUACCGGUGGCGAAGGCGGCCUCCUGGACAAAGACUGACGCUCAGGUGCGAAAGCGUGGGGAGCAAACAGGAUUAGAUACCCCGGUAGUC